RNAcentral lists this ribosomal RNA (442 nucleotides) under Salmonella enterica subsp. enterica serovar Enteritidis. RNAcentral's name for it is "partial 23S ribosomal RNA". It matches the Rfam family "Bacterial large subunit ribosomal RNA", at positions 161 to 588 of the family's 2925-position model. Lineage: Bacteria; Pseudomonadati; Pseudomonadota; Gammaproteobacteria; Enterobacterales; Enterobacteriaceae. The record is from RNAcentral.
AAUCCAUAGGUUAAUGAGGCGAACCGGGGGAACUGAAACAUCUAAGUACCCCGAGGAAAAGAAAUCAACCGAGAUUCCCCCAGUAGCGGCGAGCGAACGGGGAGGAGCCCAGAGCCUGAAUCAGCAUGUGUGUUAGUGGAAGCGUCUGGAAAGGCGCGCGAUACAGGGUGACAGCCCCGUACACAAAAGCGCAUGUGCUGUGAGCUCGAUGAGUAGGGCGGGACACGUGGUAUCCUGUCUGAAUAUGGGGGGACCAUCCUCCAAGGCUAAAUACUCCUGACUGACCGAUAGUGAACCAGUACCGUGAGGGAAAGGCGAAAAGAACCCCGGCGAGGGGAGUGAAAAAGAACCUGAAACCGUGUACGUACAAGCAGUGGGAGCCCCACCACCAAAGCAUUUGCUGUACCGCGUUGACGGAGCGAAGCGACGUCAAACCGAUAAA